Molecule: non-coding RNA, 911 nt
Organism: Heterocephalus glaber (naked mole-rat)
Lineage: Eukaryota; Metazoa; Chordata; Mammalia; Rodentia; Bathyergidae
Source: RefSeq, a predicted model, not a curated record
CGCGCGGCGGGAUGAGUCCCACAGGCCCGGCCGUUACUGUGACGACCGCGGCUCUCGCCCGUUACAUCCGGCGCCGCCAGCCCAGGCAGGGUGACCUGCUGAGGGAAGGGCCGCCCGGCCUCAGGAGUUUCUCCUCCUCCGGAGCUGGUUAGGCCAGCGCUCUCCACGGAGCCCAGGGCUCUUCCUGGUAAAGCCGUAGACAGACAGCACACUGCUCUCGGUGCCAAAUAUCGGACGAAGGUACAUGUCCGUGAGCUGUAGGAACCAGCUCUCACCCUGCGCUUUGGCUGCAUUCGGUUAGGAUUGCUGCAUGUUCAAGAUAACCAAGCUUUAAAAGUCACCCCAGGAGGCUGUUGAAGAGGGGGCAAUAAACUGAAAUGCCCUAGAGUGCGUGUCUGGGAAAAAGUUACAAUGGAAGACUUUAUGAAGAGUGAAAUUUGAAAACAACAAAAAUCGCCUUACUGACUUGUUCAACAAUAAGAUUUCUCCCUUUUUUGCUGCUGUCCUGUAAAUGGAACAUGCAAUCAGCCUCAAGUCAUUUUUGGAAAGAAGUUGAUAUGAUUUGUAUCAAGAUGUCGAUACAAAUGUCCAAAGCCUCAGUUAUCAGUACAGUACAGCUUGCAAUUUGGUUGCAACCAGAAUCGUGGAAUGAAUUCUACUGGAAUCAUGGAAAGAAUUACGUUUGUGAACCAAAGUACCACUGUAUUAAGUAAAUUUUACUCAAGCAGAGGUCUAUCAAAAUAUGCCAAAGAAGAGAAAGAUGGUAAUUAUAAAUUCAACAGAACUUCUAAAACAUUUUUAUAUUUCAAGUCACUUUCCAAAUUUAUAAGUCCAUUGGUUUUACUUCCAGAAUUUUUAAUGUUAUUUGGAAAAUUGUUUUUUCAUAAAUGAUUAAAGAAUGUUUCACUGCA